This 3072-nucleotide long non-coding RNA is filed under the name Salmo salar (Atlantic salmon). RNAcentral describes it as "lncRNA (ENSSSAG00000085710.1)". The record is from RNAcentral. Lineage: Eukaryota; Metazoa; Chordata; Actinopteri; Salmoniformes; Salmonidae.
UGUCUGUCAAUUCAAUUCAAUGGAAGGGCUUUAUUGGCAUGGGAAACAUAUGUUAACAUUGCCAUAGCAUGUGAGGUAGAUAACAAAAGUGAAAUAAACAAUACAAAUUAACAUUAAACAUUACACUCACAAAAGUAACAUUUCAAAUGUCAUAUUAUGUCUAAAUAGUUCACUGUGUGCAAAUAGUCUGUCUGUCCAUGUCUGUCCAUGUCUGUCUGUCUGUCUGUCUGUCUGUCUGUCUGUCUGUGUGUCUGUGUGUCUGUCUCUCUCUUCUUGUAGGAGCAGAACUACAGGUUAGGUGGGACACCAUCAUGUCUCUGAGUGGUGGGUCGGCCUCGGUCCCUCUCUUGUUUUUGGCCAAGAGCACCCCCUGCCCCCCCCAUGCAUCCCCCUACCCAUCUUUAUCCCCCUGUCCACCAUUCAUCCUGGACUGCAGCUGCAGACACUCUGUGUGACCUUCUCUCCUCUCACAGAGCUCACAUUGAGAUACUCUGAGUCCUCACCUCACAGUACUAGACAACAAAUGAAAUAUGUAGUUCUUAAAUGUAAGGCUUUAUGGUACGAUAGCUAUAGGUUAUGUUGCUAUGGCUACAGCCUGCUAUUACAUGACAUCAUAACCAAUAUUGAUGUAAUGAUUUCCUGCCCUGAAGUGACUGCUACAGAAACAUCUAGCUACUUCACUCAAAUAAGGUUUUCAGUCAUCGCACAGUAAAACAUCAGUAGCUCCUGUUGUGGUCUAAAAUAGUUAUCUGUAGUGAGUCUGUUUCCCUCCGUGGGUCAGUGCCUUGGCCUCCUGCAGGAGCCAGAGGAUGGGAGGAUGGCAAGGUGUGUGGGGUCUGCCUGGUGGCAGGCAGAGUGCUUCAUGGGUAGCAGAAGGCUGAGCAGGAUGGUUCAGUGGUCGAGAGGCCCUUGUUCUCUUAGAAUGUUUCCCAAAUGGCACCCUAUUCCCUAUGUAGUGCACUACUUUUGAUCAUGUUGGAAACUCACCACAUUCACAUUCCCAUUCAUCACAUGCUAUGGUCGAAAAUAUGAAUGUUUCCAAUGUUACCAAGCAAGUUUAGAGCAGGUGCAAGAAUGGUUCAUUGUUAACUCCUCACAAUUGUCAGAAGGCACAAAUAGUGACUAUACUGCCUCGCUGUGUGUCCAUGAUGUAACGUGUAGCCCUAACCCGAUCUGCCUUGUUUUCUCAAGGCAUGUUUACUUUGUUGGGGAAAACAUAUAAACAAAGAUUUCGAGGAAGAGGGUCAUGUGCCCCUUCAAAUCUAUUGUCUCUGUGGAGAGAAUCACUCAGGAAUAAUAAACAUGGGCUGGAGAGGCAGCUUCAAACACCCCUAGGGGAAAGCCUUUCAGUGUGUGUGUGUGUGUGUGUGUGUGUGUGCAUGUGUGAAAUUCAAAAUGUGUGUGUGCGUGACAGCAUGCAUGACAGUCGGUAUGUGUGUGAAUUCCAAAGUGUGUGUACAUGCAUGUGCUUCAACAUCUGCAUUGCUGUUUGGGGUUUAAGGCUGGGUUUCUGUAUAGCACUUUGUGACAUCUGCUGAUGUAAAAAAAGGCUUUAUAAAAUAAUUUCAUAAAUAAUUUGUGUGUGAGUGAAUUCCAAAAAUGUGUUUGUGUGAAUUCCACAAGUGUGUGUGUGUGAGUGUGUGUGUGCGUGCGUGAGUGUGUGUGUGUGUGUGUGUGUUCCAAAGUAAAAGGGGGAAAGCAUACCGUGGGGAUCCCAGCUCUUCCCAGACCUCCCCUCACCUCUGGCUUCCAAGCUGUGAAAACAUGCUAGAGGUUUGUUGGGGUUCGGUGGCCAAUAAGGUGUUGAUGUAUGGUAGAGCUGUCUGAGAUCCCAGUGAGCCAUUAUAAGCACAGGCUGCUGUCGAUAGAGACUAGACAUCUUCCUACUGCUCUACACAGAUAUGGUAGAGUCUAUUCUACCAAGAUCUACAAACCAUGCAGAUAUGGUAGAGUCUAUUCUACCAAGAUCUAUAAACCAUAGAGUAGAUUCUAGUCUACCAAGAUUUACAAACCAUACAGGCAUAGAGUAGAUUCUAGUCUACCAAGAUCUACAAACCAUACAGGCAUAGAGUAGAUUCUAGUCUACCAAGAUCUACAAACCAUACAGGUAUAGUGUAGAUUAUAUUCUACCAAGAUCUACUAACCAUAGAGUAGAUUCUAGUCUACCAAGAUCUACUAACCAUACAGGUACUAUGCCAUAUGACUGAUUGGUGACUGACUAGGUUGAGGUGUCUCUUUGUGUCCAAUGCAGUAGGUACUCUGAGCCAUGCCAGAUCUGAGGGUCUUUUUCUUGGGCAGUCUGUCUGGGACUUCUUUAGAGUUCUGCUAAAGCGAUACAUAGCCAACCAAAAUGAUUAGCCUCUCCCAGCAUCAAAGCCCUGUGCUUUUAAAAGGCUUCUUUAACAGCUUACUUCAGGAGCUCUGGCCCCGGCUCACAUCCAGACUGGUUAUAAAAGCCUGUCUUCAUCUUCGCCUCGCUCUAAUCUAAACCCCACAUCCUCUCCUCUCUCCCCCGACCGACUGCCAGACUGGCCGCUAUCAAACACCCAGAUAUGAUGUCUGAGUUUCUCCUCGGAACGCCACGUUUUGAGACUAUUGAGGUCAUUUGGUUGAAUGAAUUUGAGGUGGAAAACUGCUGUCAUCCAACACAAGAGCCUGACAUUGUUAGUCGGCGAGGCCCGAGGGGACUUUAUCCUCCAAGCUCUGCCUGCCUCUUUGAAGACAAGGCCCCUGUCUUUUCUCAACGCUAGCAGCUGAUCCAUCUUCCCUCUCUGGCGUCCCACUCGGUGUGGUCAACUUAAUGGAGUGAACACGAAUAUCACUGGCAAUUAUGGGGAGAUGUUUAAGGAGAGACCGUGCAGGGUUUGUUAUUUCUACAGAUAUGUGAGUAGGUUAAGAGAGAGAGAGAGAGAGAGAUGAGGCUCAGCAGAUAGAUUAAUUACAGAGGAAAGGACACUAGUCCCUGUGGGCUGGCUGUGGUGGUGGAGGCUGGACCCGGUUCUGACUGCAGGCUGGAGGUCACCAGUCCUUGUGGAUCUGACUCUGGCAGUGGAGCUUGGACCCGGUUCUGAC